UACGAGUGCCCCGAGCGUUAUCCGGAAUCAUUGGGCGUAAAGGGUGUGUAGGUGGUUGCGUUAGUCUUUCGUUAAAGCCCGGGGCUCAACCUCGGACAGGCGAAGGAAACGGCGCGGCUGGAGGAUGCGAGGGGUGAAUGGAACUCAUGGAGUAGGGGUGAAAUCCGUUGAUAUCAUGGGGAACACCAAAAGCGAAGGCAGUUCACUGGCGCAUUCCUGACACUGAAACACGAAAGCGUGGGUAGCGAAUGGG
Molecule: ribosomal RNA, 253 nt
Filed under: uncultured bacterium
Lineage: Bacteria
Description: partial 16S ribosomal RNA
Rfam family: Bacterial small subunit ribosomal RNA
Source: RNAcentral